GUCUGCAUGGAGUUAAAUGGAGUCUAUUCUGCCAAUUGAGAAAAAAUUAUCUUAAAAGGCCGCGGUAUACUAACUGUGCAAAGGUAGCAUAAUCAGUAGUUUUUUAAUUGAAGGCUUGUAUGAAUGAUUGGACAAAGAUAAAACUGUCUUUUUCAAAAAGUAAUGAAUUUUAUUUUUAAGUGAGAAAGCUUAAAUAAAUCAGGGGGACGAUAAGACCCUAUAAAUCUUUAUAUUAAUAUUUUAUAAAUGAAGUUAUUUAAGUAAAAAAAGUUUAUAAAAGAAAAUAUUUGGCUGGGGUGGCAGUGAUAUAUAAGAAACUAUUAAUCAAUAGAUAACAAAUAUAUUUGAUAUUAAAAGAUCCUAAUUAUAGAUUAAGAAUAUAAGUUACUUUAGGGAUAACAGCAUAAUUUCUUUGGAGAGUUCUAAUCGAAAAAGAAGUUUGUGACCUCGAUGUUGAAUUAAAAGAUCUCUGAGGUGCAGGAGUUUCAGAGGAGAGUCUGUUCGACUUUUAAAAUUUUACAUGAUUUGAGUUCAGACCGGCGUGAG
RNAcentral lists this ribosomal RNA (546 nucleotides) under Megalobrachium poeyi. RNAcentral's name for it is "partial 16S ribosomal RNA". It matches the Rfam family "Bacterial large subunit ribosomal RNA", at positions 1831 to 2625 of the family's 2925-position model. Lineage: Eukaryota; Metazoa; Arthropoda; Malacostraca; Decapoda; Porcellanidae. The record is from RNAcentral.